This is a long non-coding RNA of Astatotilapia calliptera (eastern happy), 2300 nucleotides long. The record is from Ensembl. Lineage: Eukaryota; Metazoa; Chordata; Actinopteri; Cichliformes; Cichlidae.
UGGGAGAUGCUUUCUGCUUGACUGAUGCAGCACAAGUAAUUUACUGUAUGAGGGAAAUUCUAUUUUUGUGAUAACAUUUUCAACAUGCAUUUCUGUUGUCCUGUCAUCUUAGUGGGUUAAUAGCUGAUAUACAAAUUAGUUGAUCGUUCUUAGAUUAAGGAAAGGUGACUGAAUUCUAGCACGAGUGAAUGGGAUGUUUGGAGUUUGUUAGAGUGGAGACUCUAAAACACUGAGUUUCCUGUUUUGAUAUGUGAGUGAAUCCUGCACCCAGAUACACAACUCUGAAUACAUAAGAACAAACUUCUUUUGUGAAGUGCAUGACAACAUGUCACAUGUUUUAUGAUGACGGGAAAAAAGGAAAGCUGAAUAAAAUGUGUCUGUGGCCUAAAUGAGUGAAGAGCACAGACCUGGGGAUUAAACUCAUAGCUAAUGAGACAUAUUAGGAUUAUGUUGUGUGUUGUGCAGCUGAUGGUUGGUUUGGAGUGAAUCUAGCUGAUGGUUUUUCUUUUGUUGUGAAGUUGAGCCUGCCAAUUAGUAUGAUGGUAUGAUAAACCAUGCUAAUGGUAUGAUUUACCCUCCUGAGAUAAGGAGCUUGUGUCAUGACGUAACAAGGCCUUUUAUUUUGAUACUUUCACAGUGCACUGAAAGUUUUGUUUGAUAAUCUCUGUUAUUUUUCAUUUUAUUUUUAUUUUUUGAACAGUGCACUAAUUUCUCUUUGUGAAUUUCUUUUCUUUAAGCAGAUCUGCACAACGGGAAUUAAAAGUGCUACACGUCGUCGAGAAAAUUGUUACAAGUGAGUUUCUCCACAUUAAAAUGGGCUCAGGAGAAAGCCACUUAUUUGGGACAAUUAGAAAAUGAGAGUCCCUGCCCAAAAAGCAAGGAAAUACAGGUGCAGCAGUAAUCUCCUGAGGAAUCUUCAGAGGCCCAGUGAGAAGCGAGAACCAUUCCAGGCAUAGCUGACAGCCCAGGCAGUGGUUGAGGUCAAAGGUCGAGCUGGUUGGGGCCCAUCAUGAGAUCAAACUUUGAAGCCACAGCAAGGACCAUGAAACUGCGUUGGAAUGAGAGCUGUGCCAAGGGGGAUUUCCAGAGGCCAACAGAGGAGAUUGUGGACAACAGACGGGCACCUGAAGGAUGAGGGGAGCGUGCCAAGCUCCAUCGACAGCGCAGAGGGAGUCUAAGGAUGGCAUCAUGAUUCUGUGAAAGCACAGGAACCAGAAGCUAUGGUGGUGAUGACAGCAGUUUCCUAUGAACAUCACCUAAUGCUGUGUCACUAUACUGUGCAUACGAUGGAACACUGAAGACUGCUGGGAUCAUAACAGCAGUAAGAUAACUGGACCCAGCACCCUUUCCACAGAGGGGUUUUUCUGCAGAGGAUGGACAGUAGAAGAGCCAUAAGUAUAUCCACGACAGGACAAAGACAGAAUCGGCAAAUACAGACUAUUAUGUCUGUUCUCAUAUGCCAGUACAUCAACACACCCCACACUAUAUGUGUUCCUGGACCAACUCCCAGGGAAGAACUACUCCAUGAUAUUAGCAGCGAGAGGGGGACUUUGUGUCCUCUUCAAUAACACCUGCUGCACUUACAUACUGGACGAUGUACGCUCAUUAAACAUGACUGACGCCCUGAAUGCUUUGAGACAAAUCCAGCAGGCCCAAAAUCAGGACUAUGUAAGUGAUACAAGUGACUGGUUUUCUUGGCUAUACACUGGCUCCUGGUUACAGGUGCUAAAAGGACUACUCAUCGGAGUUGGGAUAUUUUUACUUUUAUUUUGUGUUCUUGUAACGUGUAUACUGCCAUGUCUAAAACUCAUGAUUAACCGCAUAAUAUUUUCCACUGUUGCUGCAUAUACAGCCGUGACAAAUGAACAUGAAGACUUUGUGUGAUUAAUGACGAUGUGACAGAAAAUGUACAACAAGAUUUUACAUACUGAUAUCUCACCUAAAGAUAUACUGACAACAGGAGGGAAUGUCAAUGGAAAAUUGUAUUUAGUAGUCAGUAUAGUCUUUUAGUGAUAUAAGUUUGAAUAUGGUAGAAUACUGCAUGUAAUCAUUUGUGUUUAGAAGUAUAUAGUUGGUGGCAUAUUGAAAGAAUGUCUCAUCCUAGGAGGUCUGUAACAUUCCAGGGUGUUCUGGCGUUCACCCCCACAUCCUAGGAGCAUGGGAGAGGUCGUACCUUGUCUUAUUGUUUUACGGUAGGAUUAACGUAGCUAUAUCUGUCUAAGUGCUUUUUGUUUAGAUGAACUGCUGGACUUUAUGGGGUCACACACACACACACACACUGAAGUAUAAAUAAAACCCGG